This is a long non-coding RNA of Rattus norvegicus (Norway rat), 3496 nucleotides long. RefSeq lists it as uncharacterized. The record is from RefSeq and is a predicted model, not a curated record. Lineage: Eukaryota; Metazoa; Chordata; Mammalia; Rodentia; Muridae.
UCAGCCUGUGGUGGGCGAUGCGGAAGAGCACGUGUUAGUCACCUCAUCUACACUAAGCGUGGCCAGAGCCAACACUGAAGACCAAGCUGGAGCUACCGUCUUCUCCUAUUGAUCACCCAUCUCUGAGCGCCCGCCUGGUCCUGAUCAGGUCCCGAGGGAAAAGGUCAGCUGUAGCCGUGUGAAGCGGGAAGAGGUGGUUAACACAUAGGUUAACCCGUAUGUAUCUGUUAGCCAGUAGCUGAGAGCGAGAGCUCACGCAGACUGGGUGGCAUCCUGACUCUGCCAGUUAGAAGCUGCCGCAGUACAGUUUUGGAGACUACCUUUGCUGUCCUACUUAGAGCUCUCUGCUACCCCAGCAUAUCACGUUCUCUGACAGGAGAAUCCUGUCCCUCACUCAGAGAGCUUUCCUGGGAAAUUCUUAAGAGGUCACCUUCAUGUGCCCAAGCAUCGCAAAGAUUGUAUCACCACCCAGCAAUAAUCCAUCUCGACAUCCGAACCGGGCAGCACCACAGUGGCAUUCCUGUCCCCAGCAUUCUCCCCGGGUCUGACUGGAGUCCGAUUCCAGCUGCAUCCGUAGCCAUAGAAGGAUUCGCUCUACCCUUUGACCCUUGCACGUUUACCGGAAAUACACUUUUCAAACAACCGCAAAAGGCAUUUAUCUGAGAAGUCCUCCUCUGAGAUCUGAGAUGAGAAACCUGGUCCGAGACAGACUCCCUGGGCUUCAGUUUUCUCAUAUCUAAAAAGGACCGCUGGUAUCAGGCCCACGUACACUAAGCAGAGCAGGUGAGCGAUGGGUGGUGUGGUGCGUGCGACAGAUCAGUCAUCCAAAUGACUGUGUGGUCACUAGCGCCGGCUUCCGUCUGCUCAGUCACCUGGAUACUUUGCUCUAAGGUAAGUCAGUUUGUGUGUUAUUGUGGGGAUUUGGGGGGCACCCCGUGGGGUUUGACAAUGUAGACUCGGAGACAUCUGAACAGUGUAAGGCUGUUUGCCGGUUUGCUGGAGCAGUCUCUCCCUCUGCCCAAACUCGGCCACCAACUGUUUUCUCCUCACUUUCCACACUUCCUUCUCACACAGAAAAAGCUAUUAGCGUGCAUAGUGGGAGAGAUUCCUCCCCCAAGGCAGCUAGGUUUCCUUUUUGGGCAGGCGAGGAAGUGAUAAACAUUUAUAUAUCCUGCCAGCCUGGAGCUGCUGGAGCGAUUAGCAAUUGAGAACACAGGGACACACCUUCAUAGGUGGUUGAUACAGAAUGUGUGUGUGUGUGUGUGUGUGUGUGUGUGUGUGUGUGUGUGUGUGUGUGGUCACCCCAAUAGUAUAUGAAUCCUAUUCAUAUUGGCCCAGGCACUGAAUUUCUCUUUGAGCCAGAUAUAUAGGCACCAGGAUAAGGAUCCUUCGAGAUCAACACCGUUUAGUCUCUGUAAGUUAGAAGAAUGGUAUUCUUGUUACUAACUGUGAGGCUGGCUCCUACGUCAGGCUCUUCUCAACUGUCUGGUUCAUUCCUCAAACUUGCAAAGACCCUACAAUCCACUCAGAGGGUAGAACAUCCUAGCAAGAACCUUGGAAGGUCUGGAGCCCAAGCUUAUAUUCAGGAAGCAAAGAGAAAUGAACCUCGAGGAGCAAAGCUGAGCAGUCUUAGGCAGAGUUUGCAUCUCUGUAAGUAGAUUUUAAUAUAAAUAAUAUGUACAAAUUCAUAGUAAGAUUUAUAGCAGUAACAACCCCGUUUCUUCAGCUAUGCCCACUGGUCCUUGGGCACCGUAUGCCACCCUGCCACCCACAGGCAGCACGAAGUGUUCAGAGUAACCCGUCCAUAAUAAACUGCGGAAGAGCAAGGGUUCGUCCGACACCAUGGGUGUUCAAAGUUAGACAUCAGCUAGCUUGGCUCGUCUGGAAAGGCUCACAAAACAAGCCAGCUUUGUCUGCGGGCUGAUGGCCCUACCAUCCCUGUAUGGUCACAUCCCAGUGCAGCCAGUCUGAAAAUGCAGUCGGCUAAUAAACACAAGUGGAUGUAAAACUGAAGGAAACCACCAGACUGUCCCUGGUCUCCCCAGGGCUCCGAGGCAGGACCACGGAACUGGCAACAGAUUUUUCAGUUGUGUGCAAGGCUCAGGGUCCACAGGAAUGGGUAAGUUGGUGAUAUUUACUCAGUCACACCGGUCUCCACAUACUGGGCAGUGGCAAGCCGGUGUUGCCACCAUUUUCCUUGUUUAAAUGAGAAAACGCUCCUGUUUGAUCUGACCCGCGUAUCCUAAAUUCUCUUACUCUGAUUUUUCUCAUCUCCACGUUUUAUCUUGUUGAGAAGAUACCCGGGAACUUUACACAUCUCAAUAUGGAACAAAGUAAGAAGGGCGGGUGUAAACAAAAACUCAGGAAAAGAUUGACUCAGACAGAUUGAUGUUUUUUUGACCAAGCUUACAGCCAAAAGAGGGCACCAGACGCCUGUAACCUCUGAACCGCCCUAAAGGCGAACACUGUUGUUUAUUGCUUUGUUUCUGCUGUUGAAACUCUUCUCGUUUGUCACAGAAGGAUGGGGACGUAGCUUAAGAGCAAGGACGAGAAGCCUCUUCUAGACCUGGAGGGAGCAGGUAGCAGCAUGACGGAGCCUGAAGCGCUCACGGUCUUACCCAGUGAUGGUUUGUGUGUGGGGGUAUUGGUGGGAUGCAGAGAUGGAGAGCACCCUCCCCAAACCUGUCGGAAACUUACAUAAUUGAUCCGGAAGUGUCUGCUGGCCCAGUCCUCCUGUUCUUCCUCAGAGACCAUCUCCACGGUGAUGUCUCCAUAAGCAAUGGGUUCUUCCGUGAAUGGCCAGUAGUGGUCGCAUUUUACCUGAGGCAACAAUAACGCCACCAUUUUAAAAGACAAAGCGGAGCCAAGAAGUAACCAGGGAAGAAACAGUCUGUGCUCACUGCAGGGCAGCAAUGAUCCCCUCCUUUCCAAAGAAAACAUGCAGGCCCAUGGAGAAGGUGAAGACUAGGCACCUUCAGUCCCCCUUCCUGACAGUGGACAAACACCCAGGGCUGUGAACGGGGCAGGCAUGGCCAACCGGCCCUCAGGCACAUAGGUACACACCCUUCUUUUCUCAUUGCACUGAGUGAGCAUGACAAUGAUGCGAGACUUCUGCUGCAGGACCAUCUUCCAGAAAUCAUUUCUGGUUUCCGGCAGUGGUCCCUGGGUGGCAAUGUACUCCUGAGGUGAGUUGUAGCCCUGAAAGGAGAGUGAGAACGUCAACACUUCGCCAGCCAGCGUCACUGCCCCCUGAGUGCUGUUGGGCGUUCUAACCCUGCCAGGACGGCUGACAUCCUGCUGAUGGAGGAAGUUGGCAAAGGAUCACACACCUAUCAAAUGUUUCCUUCAGCUUAUCAUGAAAGCGGAAUAUAAUUGGCAUUAAUGUAGUCUGCUCCUUCUUCUUCAUUCAUGGAGACCAGCCUCACUCUGCUGAAGUCGUCUAUGAAGACCAGAGAGAAAAGACACAUUAAAAAAAAAACCGGAAUGGAAGGCAAAA